UAGAGAUGCCUCAAAUCUAGCG
This 22-nucleotide non-coding RNA is filed under the name Arabidopsis thaliana (thale cress). The record is from RNAcentral. Lineage: Eukaryota; Viridiplantae; Streptophyta; Magnoliopsida; Brassicales; Brassicaceae.